AAAAUCAUUUUCUGAAAUUUUUCAAAUUUUUUUGGUUUUUCUAUGCCUUAGAUGAAUGCAGACUGAAAAAUAUACACAAUGCAACACACACUUCCUGAGCCCUCCCCCAAACUUAAAUCACACAGUCCACUGUGCGAAUAAACUUCAGUUGAAGAAUGAACGUAGUCGAUCUAGCAGUAGGAGUACUCAGGACAAAUCUAAUCACAGAAACAAAAAAAAUGAAGAAACAAAUCACAACAGAUGGUAUAAUACAAUGGUGAAGUGAGGCGCUUACCUCAGUCGAAGAAUGAACGUAGUUGCUCGUCAAUGGCUGCCUGCGAUUGCUCCCAGGCCAUAGACGAACCACCUUGUUCUGUAUCAGUUCCAGCAGGUGGUACUCAACCUCAUCAGCUUUGUGGCGGCCAGCACCGCUCUGAGGAAACUCGACCUCUCUCCUUCUGCUACGGCCAGCACCGCGGUUGCAUAAACUACGAGACUGCAGAAGUCGUCCGCUCCUACUGCUAGAUCGAGUGAGUGUGGUCCUCCUCUUCCUCCCAGAUUCACGAGGCUCGAAUGAUGAAUGCCUCGCAGGGACAUGCGGAAUCUCCUGCUCUCUAGGCUCAGGCCUGCGCCGACUUGGCUCGGGCGCGUCAUAUCUCCUCAAAGGCAUGUCCUGAGGGAGAUGUCCCUGCGGAAUAGCUGUAGUGGAAGAGGAGCAGCUGAGCUUGUUUUUCAUAAACUUGAUAGCCCUGAGGCACUUGGCGAGCAACUUGUCCUAUUUCAUGCACCACUUCUGCAGCUUGCUGUUGUUCCUGUGAGCUUCGCUUAAACUCCUGCUUUCCCUCGCAGCAGGUAUAUGCUCACUGAAAUGAUACAUGCUCGUGUCAAACUCCGCCUCAUGUAUAUCAUCCGUCUCAUGAAUAUCUUCUGUUGUAGCUCCUUCGGUAUGACUGAUCUCCUCAGUUGGCGGACUACCCUCGAAAUAAAGUUCUUCAAGCGCAGGCUUGAAGUCAAUGUUCCUGCCCUCGAGAAUCCUAGUAGCGUCAAUGCAGGUGAGAAGAAUGUUGGCGAUUUUAAUCGAUGAAUGCUCGAACCUGUAGCGGUGAAAGUCGCCAGCCAUGUCAAACUCCAAGAACUCACAUCUGCGCAAAUGAUCCAAGUCCAUCAUCCUCGGUGCUAACCCUGGUUCCUUGAGCGGUACUCCACAAGCUUCCAGAAUUGGCGUCACAACGCCACCCACGCAUAGUGCUCCUCUCACCUUCUUCUUCCUGUUCGUCAACGCCCACUUUCUGUCUCCACACAGAUAGAUCAACAGAGGCAUUACUGGUGGUGCGUUGUUGAGAUCGCCUCUCAAGACAUUCUUCCCCUUCGUCCGACGCAGAAUCCCUGUAAACGCAUAAUCUAUCAUCUCCAUGUCCGUGUUAGACACGGUGCCUGUAGACUCCCUGGAGUAAAAGACGUUGGCGACCGAUCUCUGAAAGUAGCGGAUCACAGGACUCCAGAUUUGGUUGCUCUUGGACCGCGCCAAGUUUAGCUGUAGAUUGUUCCUUAUAGUGGCCCACAAAUCCUUAAGCUCCUCUCUGUCAAAUCUGGGUUUGGUUCCCUUUCCACAAGGGAAACCAAACAGUUCUUCUAACUUCUUGAUCGAAAGCUGAUACCGUUGUUCAUUCACUGAGAACGUCAAGAAGCCUAACCCCAUGGUAUCCAGCUCAAAGUCUGUGAGUGUCUCAUACAUCUCCACUUGCAGCGUGGAAAGAAACUCGAUUGUCUCCUCCUUAAAGGCAGGGUAAGGGUAAGACAUGAGUGUCUCCAGAUGACACUUCUCGAACAGAUGCUGCACGUCCUCCAGUAACUCCAAUUGGGCUAAAGUCUCAUAACACGGAUACCUCGUUCCCCAGAAUUCAUUCAUCUCGAAGAAUUUGAUAUACUCCUCCACUGUAACCUCGUCGGGUUUGUUCAGCAGCUUCGUCUCCCUGCGCCAUGACUCUGGCUCAUACUCGGUCUCGAUAUCCUCAUCAAUCAGCUCAUAUCUACUUGACAUCGCCCUCUUUCCUCUGGCGAUUUCAGCCCUUCUCUGAUUACGUCAGGCUGUAGAGCGUUCAAAUUCAUCCCUGAAGCUCUGGUAAACAUGUUUCUCUCUCAGUCUAGCGGACCAGGACUCAGCUUCAUCCACAUUGUAGUCAGGGUCCAUAGAGGAUUCUCCACUGUAGUUACUCAUUACGAAACCUGAAAACAAAUUUAACUCAAAAAUAAACGUUAAUACGUUAGUUCCAACAAAACCAGGAACACAAACCACAAACCAAAAACAGGUUGAGUAAACUGGUCGAGUAACCCGGUUUUGAAAUUUUUCUUUUUUCGUUUUGUAGGUAAUUGGUCGAGUGGUUAAGGAGGACCGAGUGAAGUGAUGGAGAUAGAGUUGUGAAAACGACAAGGUUAUGCAGGAGCUGCGGUCGAGUGAGUCGGACGGCAAGGUCGAGUAGUGAAUGAUGAGAGUAGAGUCGUGGAUUGGUGAUGAGAUGAUGUUAGAAGAAGUCGAGUGACUGUGAGCGAGAAGUGUUGUUAGAGGAGCGGUGAUUCGAGUGAUUGAAUCGGAGGGGGAGAAGCGGAGGUGCUGGUCGCGUGAAGAGUGGAGUUUGAUUGAGUGGAUUCGGUGAAGUCUAGUGGAGUUGUGAGGAAGGGAAGGUUGUGUAGUGGUCGAGUAAAUGAAGAACAAAAGCUGACUGGAGAGAUGAGAGAAGCGGCGGUCGAGUGUUUUCCUUGGAGAGGAGAAACGGCUGCUUGGUCAAUUGGUGAAGAGGUCGAGUGGCAGCGUGAGACGGUGGUGAAGAGGCGAGAGAGAAGCAGUCGAGUGGUGCUUUGGACGGAAGAUGAUGGCGCUAAAGUCGAGUGAUUGAGGGGAAGUCGAGUGGAGACGGAGUGUGAGCGAGUUCGUGUUUGGUCGAGUGUUUGAGAGAUGGUGGAGUGUUUGAGGAAGAGAAGUGGCGAGGUCGAGUAUUUGUGGAGAGAGGGGCGAUGGGAUCGAGUGAAGUGAUAAGGUGAGGUCGAGUGGUGUGGAUAAGGAGCGUUGAGGUCGAGUGGUGAAGAGAAGAAGAGGAUAGAUUCUUGUCUUCUGGUCAGUUGCAUGGAGGACAUGGGCGUCAGCGGCGGGUCCCACAAUGUCUUCUUGUCUCUUCUCUGUAUUCUUUGUUCACUAGGAAAGCUCCAGGAAAUCCCGCAAUCUUCUAUAAACUUGAUGAACUCUCUGUAAGACUCUGUAGCUCCUGUUGGUCGAGUAAAAUGAUGAUUUAAAAUUUUUUUAGGUUUUUAAACAUCACUCAUACUCGACCACUAUACUCGAUCUCUAGGCCAUCACUAGAGUAAAAGUUUUGAAUUUUUACUCUACCUUCAUGUUACUCCUUUCUUCCUGAGAACCACAAACACAACCAAAACAAAUCAAAAAUAACAAGAAAGUAAAAAUUAUUUACAAGGAUAGUCAUGGGACUUCCUCCCAAGUGAGCUUGUUUUAAGUCUCUAGCUUGACUCCUCACACUCAUCGAGAAGAAAAUGAAUGAUAGAGAGGGUCUACAUAGUCCUCUCUAGCAUCAUCAUCAUACCCAGCGUCCUCCCUGGAGAGGUCUGCAGCAGAAUACUCAAUUCCCCUUUCUUCAAAAUAGGCUUCCUUCUCUUCUGGAGGGUAAUCUGUCUCUUGAGACCAUCUUGAAGUGAAUUCUUUUCUCGGGAUAGUGUUAAUCCCGCCUUUAGGUUAAGUUUCCUUCUGCAUCUGAUUCAGCUUACUCCUAAGUUCCUCAAUAGUGUGGGCUAGCUUCUCUAUAAUUUCAUCUUGCUUAUCAGACCUCUUUUUAAGUUCUUUUACUCUUUCAGUCUCAUAUCCUUCUCCUGAGAUCGCUCUAUCAUUUCCAGAGGUUCUUCCAUCUUCUGUUGACCCUUGUGGAGUUCUGUUGAUGUUAAAGUGCAACUUGAUGUGCUUUCCAAGGUUGAGACCUAUUUUCCCUUCUCUGACAUCUAUCACUGCUCCCACUGAAGCUAAGAAUGGUCUUCCCAGUAUUAAGGGAUCCUUAUGCUCUACUUCCAUAUCCAGCACCACGAAGUCUCUAGGCACUUCUACUCCAUUAAACAUGACUGGUAGGUCUUUCAGCAUGCCGAAGGGUUUUCUAGAAGACCUAUCCGCAAGGAUCAAAGUCAGGUCACAAGGUUUAUACUGAAUGAACUCCAACCUUCUUGUCACAGAGAGUGGCAUCAAGCUAAUAGAGUCUCCGAGAUCGCACAGACAAUCGCUGAAAGCAAAUUCCCCAAUGGAACAUGGUAGAGUGAAAGAUCCAGGAUCUUCUAACUUCUCUUGAACAAUCCUUUUACCAGCAGCUCGAGAUGGAGUGGCGUCACUUUCAUCAUCUGAAUCGUGAUACAUCUUGAUCCUUUCCAGUAUUAAAUUUCUCACAUCUUUGUGAGGAUCAGGAAUCAGGUUAAGAACUUCCAUUAGUGGCAUCACUGCUUCAAUCUCGUCCAACUGCUUCGCUGCAACAGACUUGUAUCUCUUCAUCCAUGCUUUCCUGAAUGUCCACGGAAGAGCACGUGAGGGUAGUGGAGUAGGUUUGAAUCGUUUUACCAUUCUCUCGAUUAUGGCGGCCUUCUCUUUCGAGGUGGAUUGAGUGAGAUGGCGAGAACCAGCAGAAUGGUUGAAUUCAAUAACAGAGACUUCAACCUGAGUAGAAGCCUCUCCUUCUUGAACAUCACUGUCCUAGUGAUGAAAUCAGGGACUGGUCAAGUUGGCAGCUCUCGAUCAUGGCAGAUGGUGAUGGCGUGAGCGGUUGCAUACUCUUUUGGAUUCUGUAUAGACUUCCCUAAAAGUCCUGUAACUUUUGGUGCAGAGGUAGAUGCUGAUUGGCCUUCCAAAUAUCUGACUUUGGUGUUUAAUGCUUUCCAUUUUGGCAUUCAGGUCAUUGUAGCUGCAGUCCAGCUUAUGGUGCAAUUCAGAUAAUUUCUUAGCAAUUUCCAUUGAGCUAGAUGCUUGUCCCUGUAGCAGCUGUUGAACCAUCUGAUUCAUUUCAGCAUCAGGAGCAGCAGGACCUUGGUUUUGCUGAGGUGCAAACCCAGGUGGUGGUGGUUGUUGGUAGUUCCCCUGGAAUUGUUGCUUAGGAACGAAACCUUGGUUGUAGGGAACAAAAGGUUUGUUCUGACCUUGUUGUUGAUGUGUAGGAUACACCUGAUCCUGAGGAUUAGCAACGUUGGUGCUGCGGUAGGAGAGGUUGGGAUUGUUGGUUUUGAAGUUGUUGUAUCCUUUGUAGCCACCCUGGUUGUUGUUGAUGUAGGUGACUUCUUCCAACUGGUUACCCUCCCCAUCUUGGACUUGAUACUGCUCGUCAUCAACAAGGAAGUGCACAUGCUUCUGCUGGCUAAGAAGAAUUUUGUCCAGGUUGUCAUUCAGCGCUUUGAUAUCCUUCCUGUGUUUGUCAUCAGAGUCAGCUGUUCCUUUGACGGUCCUAUCACAGUCCUCGUUGUAAUUGCCAUCUGAUUGAGCAAGGUUCUCAACCAAUUCCCAGCCUUCUUCAACAUCCUUGUUCUGGAAAUUCCCAUUGCUGGCGGUAUCCAGAAGCAUUCAGAUGCGUGGUAGGACUCCUCUGUAAAGAGUGCUGAGCAGAGAGGCUUUAGAAAAGCCAUGAUGAGGGCAUUGGUUGGUGUAACCCUUGAAACGCUCCCAUGCUUCACAGAAGCUUUCACCAUUCUUCUGUGAGAAACCAGAAAUCUCAUUUCUGAGUCUUGCAGUUCUGGCAUUGGAGAAUAACUUUGAUAGAAAAGCCUUCUUGCAAUCAUCCCAGGUGGUGAUUGAGUCAUGGGGCAGAUUCUUCUCCCAGAUGUGUGCUUUGCCACCCAAGGAGAAUGGAAACAAACGGAGCUUGAAUCCGUCGUCACUGACACCAUUGAUCUUCGUUAGGUUGCAGAGCCUAUCGAAUUCAUCAAGGUGGUCGAGUGGAUCCUCCAUUGGCAGACCAUGGAAUUUGUUCCCCUGAAUCAUCGAGAUGAGACCACUCUUAAUCUCAAAGUUGUUGUUCUGGAUAGUAGGAGGUGCAAUUCCCUUCCUCUGACGGUGAUCACGUGGUGCAUCUCCAGCACCAAUGUUGGCAGGGCCAUUUUGUUGAUUCUGUUCUUCAGCCAUUUCGAGUGGUUGCUGAGGUACAGGGUUGACUGUGGUUCUCCCUUUUCUGAGUUCGCGAGCUGUGCGGUUGAUGUUGUCGUUGAAAAGGAGGUUCUGAUUGCCUGUUAAUCGAGUUCGCAUAUAGCAGAGGUGUACCUGGAUCAAGAAGACAACAAGAAAAACACACAGUUAGUAACCGAAAAGAAAAUUGAAAAACAACUUGAUCUAAGCAAGUCUGAAAUCUCAAAUGUAACAAACAAACACCCAAUUGGCAACGGCGCCAAAUUGAUAAUAGGUUUUUUAAGUCAAUUAUCCUAAAACACCAAUCAUAUCGUUGUAGUAUUUUAGGUUGUCAAUCCAAAUGGGUGUGAUGCUAACAAUCAAGAUCUGAUCAGAAGUUACUAAGUUAAGCCAAGCAAUAACAGGUUUUGGUGUGUUAUAGCAAUCCUAACUGAACAUGCAGAAAACAGAAAAUCAAACAGAAACAGCAAAACACUCGACCAAGACAGCUCUGUGCAGAGCACUAGAUGAGGUCGAGUGACAGGUCGAGUAACAGGCAGAAAGUGAAACAGGGAUACUCGACUGCACAGUCUGUUGCCAGACAACUGGGUGGUCGAGUAUCAGGUCGAGUAACAGGAAAGAAUUGCAGAAACUAAGCAACAGAUAACAAGAUGCAGUAAACAACAGUAGAGUAAACAAAGAAUUCAAUCAGAUAAAGAAUUCCCGAGGAUGGGGUAAUCGAGUAGUUUCGUUUUCUCAGUUUACAGGUGAUUGACAUGCUCAAUAAAUUAACCCUAGACAACAAGUUCAUUAACCAAAUCUAAGUGCCACCGCAACAGAGACUCUAAAGUUAACCUAGUCCCAGACUCAAUCACCAUUGACGAGAGCUAACCUAACAGGCAUUACGAAUCAACAAGUUAAAGCCAAAACGCUCCCUGCAACCAAUACCUUGGUACAGGGUCACGAAUCUCUGGAAUUAGUGGUUCAGACAUUUCAUCGAACACCUUUUGGGCGCGGAAAUGUCUGGGCUCAAAUUCGAGUUGAUCAGAAAGCAAUAGGCAUUAAGAACAACUAAUCCAGAAGGGAUCUAUCAACCAAUACUCAAUCACCUAGCAUACUGAGAAUUCUACACUACUCUAACCCAUCCUCAGAAAUCUAUUCACUACUCAGACAUCAUAACAGAAAGCAUAAACGUUGAACAAAUUGAAAACAUGAUAACAACAAUGUAACAGCAGGAUGAUAACAGAAUGAACAACAGUAAACGAACUCAAGAACAGAAACUGAAUACUGAAUACUGAAUAGAUAAAGAGAAAUCCGUAUUACAAAAAGUCUAGAACAGAAGGUCUGCGGAAAUAAAACUAGAUAAAAACUUCUUGUCUGCGAAAAUGAGAAAUACAUGCUACUUAUAGCCAAAUAUCCCGAAACCCUAAUACUCAAAACGACGAAGUAUUGGGACGGGUUAAGAACUGUACUCGACCCACGUGGUCGAGUGAGACGUCGAGUGAAUAGCUGGAGUCUUCUUUUCUUCCUUGUGCUCGAGUCUCUGGUUGAGUGCGGAAUGAAGAAGGCUCUGAAGCUUGUCAUCGAGUAUGCAGUCGAGUGGUGGUGAUGGUGAUACUCGACAUCCAGAUAGAGUGAUCAGGUCGAGUAGAGGUAUGGCAAUGGGAUGAAGUCACUCGGCUUGGGGGUCGAGUGAUGUGAUCGAGUGGUGUCAGAAGAUACUCGACUUCCAGAUUGAGUGACGAGGUCGAGUGGUGGUCUUAUGAUGGAGUUACAGACACUCAACCUCAUGGUCGAGUGAUGUGAUCGAGUGAUGGUCUGGUGAUGGAGAUGAGGGCACUCGACCUCGUGGUCGAGUGGUGAAGUGAAAUGGUGAUGUCCUUUGCUCGACCCGGGGG
This 8007-nucleotide small RNA is filed under the name Arabidopsis thaliana (thale cress). Its description in RNAcentral is "ATSL268940". The stretch from base 5628 to 5734 matches the Rfam family "Plant small nucleolar RNA R71". The record is from RNAcentral. Lineage: Eukaryota; Viridiplantae; Streptophyta; Magnoliopsida; Brassicales; Brassicaceae.